RNAcentral lists this ribosomal RNA (652 nucleotides) under Nocardioides aquiterrae. RNAcentral describes it as "bacterial SSU rRNA". It matches the Rfam family "Bacterial small subunit ribosomal RNA", at positions 223 to 885 of the family's 1533-position model. The record is from RNAcentral. Lineage: Bacteria; Bacillati; Actinomycetota; Actinomycetes; Propionibacteriales; Nocardioidaceae.
GUCCAUGCUCGCGGCCUAUCAGCUUGUUGGUGGGGUAAUGGCCUACAAAGGCUUCGACGGGUAGCCGGCCUGAGAGGGUGACCGGUCACACUGGGACUGAGACACGGCCCAGACUCCUACGGGAGGCAGCAGUGGGGAAUAUUGGACAAUGGGCGGAAGCCUGAUCCAGCAACGCCGCGUGAGGGAUGACGGCCUUCGGGUUGUAAACCUCUUUCAGUACCGACGAAGCGAAAGUGACGGUAGGUACAGAAGAAGCACCGGCCAACUACGUGCCAGCAGCCGCGGUAAUACGUAGGGUGCGAGCGUUGUCCGGAAUUAUUGGGCGUAAAGGGCUCGUAGGCGGUUUGUCGCGUCGGGAGUGAAAACACCGUGCUUAACACGGUGCUUGCUUUCGAUACGGGCAGACUAGAGGCAUGCAGGGGAGAACGGAAUUCCUGGUGUAGCGGUGAAAUGCGCAGAUAUCAGGAGGAACACCGGUGGCGAAGGCGGUUCUCUGGGCAUGUCCUGACGCUGAGGAGCGAAAGUGUGGGGAGCGAACAGGAUUAGAUACCCUGGUAGUCCACACCGUAAACGUUGGGCGCUAGGUGUGGGAUCCAUUCCACGGGUUCCGUGCCGCAGCUAACGCAUUAAGCGCCCCGCCUGGGGAGUACGG